RNAcentral lists this ribosomal RNA (250 nucleotides) under uncultured bacterium. RNAcentral's name for it is "partial 16S ribosomal RNA". It matches the Rfam family "Bacterial small subunit ribosomal RNA", at positions 524 to 773 of the family's 1533-position model. The record is from RNAcentral.
UACAGAGGUCCCAAGCGUUGUUCGGAUUUACUGGGCGUAAAGGGUGCGUAGGUGGUCGGGUAAGUCUCAUGUGAAAUCUCCAAGCUUAACUUGGAAAUGGCAUGGGAUACUAUUCGGCUAGAGGAUUGGAGGGGGGACUGGAAUUCCCGGUGUAGCAGUGAAAUGCGUAGAUAUCGGGAGGAACACCAGUGGCGAAGGCGAGUCCCUGGACAAUUCCUGACGCUGAGGCACGAAAGCUAGGGGAGCAAAC